RNAcentral lists this long non-coding RNA (5316 nucleotides) under Sus scrofa (pig). RNAcentral's name for it is "lncRNA (ENSSSCG00040017629.1)". The record is from RNAcentral. Lineage: Eukaryota; Metazoa; Chordata; Mammalia; Artiodactyla; Suidae.
GUUAUUAAAUAUUGGCUGUAUUCUCAACAUCAGUGACCCGCGCCACAGCCGUGGCAAAGCCUUAUCCUUAACCCACUACCCUGAGUCAAGAAUCGAACUGGUGCCUCCAAACGUGACCAUUAACCCACAGGACCACAGCAGGAACUCCUAUGUGUGUCCUAUUUGUUGAUAGCCAUUCUGACAAGUGUGAGGCAAUACCUCAUUGUGGUUUUGAUUUGCAUGUCCCUGAUGAUUAGCAGUGUGCAUCUUUUUUUUUUUUUUUGGCUUUUUGGCUUUUCUAGGGCCGCUCCCGCGGCAUGUGGAGGUUCCCAGGCUAGGGGUCUAAUUGGAGCUGUAGCCGCCGGCCUACGCCAGAGCCACAGCAACUCAGGAUCCGAGCCAUAUCUGCAACCUACACCAGAGCUCACGGCAAUGCCGGAUCCUUAACCCAGUGAGCAAGGCCAGGGAUCAAACCCGCAACCUCAUGGUUCCUAGUCGGAUUCGUUAACCACUGCACCACGACGGGAACUCCAGUGUUGUGCAUCUUAUUGGCCAUCUGCAUUUCCUCUUUGGAAAAAAUGUCUAUUCAGUUCUUCCACCCAUUUUUAAAUUAGACUGUGUACUUUUUUUGAUGUUGAGUUGCAUGUGGUAUUUAUAUAUGUUGGAUAUUAACCCCUCAUCCGUCGUAUUAUUUGCAAAUAUGCACUAUUUCCCAUUUAUUAGGUUGUCUUUUCAUUUUGUCCAUGGUUUCUGUUGCUAUACAAAAGCUUUUAUGUUUAAUUAGGUCCAAUUUGUUUAUUUAUUGCUUUUAUUUCCUUUGCUUUAGGAGACAGAUCCAAGAAAGUAUUGCUGUGAUUUAUGUCAAAGAAUGUUCUCCCUAUGUUUUUCUUUAGUAGUUUGUGGUUUCCAGUCUUACAUUUAGGUCUUUAAUCCAUUUUGAGUUUAUUUUUGUUUAUGAUGUUAGAAAAUGUUCUAAUUCCUUCCCUCCUUCCCUCCUUCCUUCCAUCCAUCCUUCCCUCCUUCCUUUCUUUGUCUUUUUUAGGGCUGCACCUUCAGCAUAUGGAGGUUCAUAGGCUAGGGGUUAAAUUGGAGCUAUAGCUGCUGGCCUACACCACAGCCACAGCAAUUCCAGAUCCUAGCACAUCUGCAACUUACACCACAGCUCAAGGCAACACUUGAUCCUAACCCACUGAGCCAGGCCAGGGAUUGAACCUGCAUCUUCAUGGGUACUGGUCAGAUUGUUUCUGUUGAGCCAUGAUGGGAACUCCUCUUUGUUUUUGUUUUGUUUUGUUUUUUCUUUUUAGGGCCACACCUGUGGCAUAUGGAAGUUCCUGGGCUAGGGAUUGAAUUGGAGCUGCAGCUGCUGGCCUACAACACAGCCACAGCAACAAUGGAUGCAAGCCACAUCUGCAACCUACACCACAGCUUAUCCUUAACCCACUGAGCAAAGUCAGGGAUCAAACCUGCAUCUUCAUGGAUACUAGUUGGGUUCUUAACCCAGUGAGCCACAACAGGAACUCCUAAUUUUUUUCUUUUACAUGUAGCUGUCUAAUUUCUUUCAUUUACAUGUAGCUGUUUUCCCAGCACCACUUAUUGAAGAUACUGUCUUUUCUCUAUUGUGUAUUUUGCCUCCUUUAUCAUAGUAAGUGCAUGGGUUUAUAUCUGAGCUGGGUAUUCUGUUCCAUUGAUCUAUGUGUCUGUUUUUAUGUCAGUGUCAUACUUUUUCAAUUACUAUAUCUUUGUAGUAUAAGCUGAAGUCAGGGAGCAUGAUUCUUCCAGCUCUGUUCUUUCUUAAGUUUAUUUGGCUAUUCAGGUCUUUUGUGCUUCCAUACAAAUUUUUUAAUUAUUUGUUCUAGUUCUGUGAAAAAUGCCAUUGAUAUUUUGAUAGGGAUUGCAUGGAAUCUACAGAUUGCCUUGGGUGGUAUGUUCAUUUAACUGCAUUAAUUCUUCCAAUCCAUGAACAUGGUAUAUCUUUCCAUCUUUUUGUGUCAUCUUCAAGUUCUUUCAUCAGUGUCUUCUAUUUUCCCAAGUACAAGUCUUUUCCUUCCUUAAAUAAGUUUAUUCUUAGGUAUUUUAUAUUUCUUGAUGCAACUGUAAAAUUGGGAUUAUUUUCUUAAUUUACUUUUCUGAUAGUUCAUUGUUAGUGUAUCAAAAUGCAACAGAUUCCUGUAUGUUAAUUUUAUAUCAUGCCACUUUAUAAAUUCAUCAAUGAACUCUAGUGGUUUUCUGGUAGUGUCUUUAGUAUUUUCUGUGUAUACUAUCAUGUUGUCUGCAAACAGUGACAAUUUGGUAUCCUUUUGUCUUCAGAGAUUAGGCUCCUUCCUUUACUCUUGCUUGAAAGUCUUUUGACCUGUUUUGGAGGAGAAAGGGAAGUGAGGGAAAGUCAGAGUGAACUUCCUGCUUCUGCUGUUUCCUCAGUCUCCUUCAGCUUAAAAUAUUCACUGUGCCAAAGUGCUAUCUUUUGAGGUAGCAUGUCCUGAACCCCAUUACUUCCCGUGCUGGUUGAGGUGAGGUGGAUGCACUCUUUCUCUCCCAGUGUGUGGAUGGGAGGUGUGGGGGUGGCACAGCUCAGUGCACUGACAUCCUUCUCUAAGAAAACCCUCACUACUAGCCACUUCCAUGCCAGUGAACCCCCAGCCUCUUUGGGAAUACUUGGAAGGGAGUUAUGGGCAGAAGACAGUUUCACCGUCUCUUAGAAAGUGUCGUCUUGAUGCUUAUAUUUGUUUUCCAUGGUAGUGUACCAAAUUACUCAAAGUCUUAGUGCUUAAAACAUUUAUUAUCUCACAGUUUCUGUGUGUUAUGGAUUGAACUGUGUCCCUCCAAAAGUCAUUGUUGAAACUCCAGUAUUUUUAGAAUGUGACUGGAGCCUUUAAAGAGGUUAUUACUGUUAAAUGAGAUCAUGAAGCCAGGCCCUAACCCAGUAUGACUGGUGUAUAAGCAGAAGAGAGGCACCAGGGACUGGUGUGCACAGAGGAAAGCCACAUGAAGACACAGGGAGUAGGUGGCCAUAUCAAAGCCCUGGAGUGAGGUUUCCAGAGAAACCAAACCUGCCAAUACCUUUACCUUGGACUUUCAGCCUCCAGAACUCUGAGAAAAUAAAUGUCUGUUGUUUAAGCCACCCAGUCUGUGGUACUUUGUUAUGGCAGCCCUAGCAAAUAAAUACAUUGUGAGUCAGCAAAGCAGGUCAAGCACAGCUUAGUUGGGUGCCUUGGGCUCAGGCUUUCUCCCAAGGCUAUAACCAAGAAGUCUUCUGGGGCUCCCAUCAUAUCAAAGCUCAGGUGAGGAAGAUCUGCUUCCGAGCUCACUCUCAUGGCUAUAGGCUGGCCUCAGGUCCUCACUGACUCUUGGCUGGAGAGAACAGUUCUUUGCCGUGUGGGCCCCUCCAUAGAGCAGUUCACAACAUGACAGCUGGUUUCCCCCAGAGUGAGAGAGGGAGCCCAACAGAAGCUGCAGUCUUUUAUAACCUAAUCAUGUGGCAUCCAUCUCUUUUGCAGUCCUCUCUUUGUUAGCAGUAAGGUACUAGGUUCACUCUACCCUCAAGGGGAGGGGAUUACAAGAGGGAAUUAUGUAACUGUAACCUAAGCCACAGCUGGGGCAACACCGGAUCCUUAACUCAUUGUGCAUCCCAGCACUACCAAGAUGUAUGGCAUUGUUUUUUAUCUUGGUCUUCCACCAAAAUGGAGACAACAGGAAAGGACGAUGGAACAUCUGUUAUGCCAGUGACAAGGGAAAAGGUCUAUCUCCUGGUGGUAGGAAGAUAAGGAAAUGCCUAAAUGGUUCCAUUUUCUAGUGAAGUAUGAAGUGUGGUCAUUAGCUAUAAUGGACUGUGGAGGGUACAACAAAGAUGGCUACUUGUACAGCAAAGACUCCUGCUCCCUCAUGUUCCCCUUUCAUGUUAUACAGCUGCCCAGCCAGGAAGUGCAUCUCUUGACUCCCCUACUUCCAGGUGGGACCAUAUGACUAGUUUGUGCCAGUUGACUAUUAGAAGCAAUUAGCGGUAUUCCCUGGCUAAAGAGGUUAAGAAGCAGGUAUACCUUUCCUCAUUUUCUCUUUCUUGCACACAAGCUGUUGGGUGGGUACUGAGAACUCCAGAGCUCUAGGAGGAAGGAGUCCCGAGAUAAAAGGCACCUGGAUUCCUAAAAGCCACCUGCCAACCAAGAAUACCUGCCCUGGACUUUUGUAUAGAGCAAGAAACAAACGUAUUUUUCAAGCCAUUGAAAAUUUGGAGUGUGACUGUUGCAGCAGGUAGCAUGACCCUAACUAAUCCAGGUGGCCAGGUUUGAGAAGUAGUAUGAAACGCUUGUCUCAGUGAGUGGGCAUAGAGGGAGCCAAUGCUCCCAGUGGUGCAGCCUCGCUGGCCUGGGGCAAACAACUUGGAUGUAGCCAGACAAGGGCCAAAGAGGGGCAGAGCCAUACAAUAGUGGCUGCAGGUCAAAGGACCUGACUCCUGUGUGCCCCAGGACCCUUGUACAUAUGGUAAAAAAAUAUAUAUAUAUUAAACAGAAACCUCAAUUAAAUAGAGUUGAGCGGCCAGAAGGGGGAGCUCUUACACUCUGGAGCAAUAGCAAAGUCCAGUGGGAAGAAAGACUCCUCUUGAUUCCUGGCAAGGUCUCAUCCAAUGAAAAGCCAUGGACUUUAUUUACCACAGCCUUCCCAACUUCCUUUUUCCCUGUACAAAAUCCUUCUCUUUCCCUUUCCGUGCAAAGACUUGGACUUGGCUCACCAUGGUUGCAGACCCUGAAUUGCAGUUCUCUUCUGAUCCCAAAUAAAUGCAGCAUUGCUGGAGAAAUAUCUAGCAGUCUAUUUGUUUUAGGUUGAGAAAUCCUAAAAGGAGGGUAUCCUGAAAAAUGAGUGAAGUUGGACCCCCCACCACAUGAUCCCUGAAGGAGGAUGAAAUGGCUGUGACUUGUACUCCAUAAAUAUGGGUGUGCCAGAAACAUCACACAUUUUUACUUUACUUAAAUCAAAUUUAGUCUCCAAGCCUCCAUCCUGCCAAGCGUGUGGAAGGUCAGUUCCAGGCACGGCUGGUGCUCUGCCCUCUCCCUGGUACAGCAUUGUAUCCUGGAGGCCAACAUGGUGUUUGCAAGCAAGGGAAAGCCUGACAUCUUUGAUUCGGAAUGAUCAGCGCUGCUAUCCUUAAGGGAGCACAGGGUCCUCUGCAGUCCUGUUAAGUCCUCUAGGCAUUUCUAAAAAUAGGGUCAGGUCCACUCUCUACUCAGGAAGCCGCUGACCUCAGGAACCUCCCUCUACAUCUUUCUGCCACCCAGGAUCCUAUCUUUCUUCCCUGACAUCUUUCCCCCAAACAACUCAUGCUUCUGAAAAAAAAAAAAAAAAAAA